GACGAACGCUGGCGGCGUGCUUAACACAUGCAAGUCGAACGGAAAGACCCUGCUUUUGUGGGGUGCUCGAGUGGCGAACGGGUGAGUAACACGUGAGUAACCUGCCCUUGACUUUGGGAUAACUUCAGGAAACUGGGGCUAAUACCGGAUAGGAGCUCCUGCUGCAUGGUGGGGGUUGGAAAGUUUCGGCGGUUGGGGAUGGACUCGCGGCUUAUCAGCUUGUUGGUGGGGUAGUGGCUUACCAAGGCUUUGACGGGUAGCCGGCCUGAGAGGGUGACCGGCCACAUUGGGACUGAGAUACGGCCCAGACUCCUACGGGAGGCAGCAGCGGGGAAUAUUGCACAAUGGGCGGAAGCCUGAUGCAGCAACGCCGCGUGCGGGAUGACGGCCUUCGGGUUGUAAACCGCUUUCGCCUGUGACGAAGCGUGAGUGACGGUAAUGGGUAAAGAAGCACCGGCUAACUACGUG
RNAcentral lists this ribosomal RNA (468 nucleotides) under uncultured bacterium. Its description in RNAcentral is "partial 16S ribosomal RNA". It matches the Rfam family "Bacterial small subunit ribosomal RNA", at positions 28 to 507 of the family's 1533-position model. The record is from RNAcentral.